Molecule: ribosomal RNA, 490 nt
Filed under: uncultured bacterium
Lineage: Bacteria
Description: partial 16S ribosomal RNA
Rfam family: Bacterial small subunit ribosomal RNA
Source: RNAcentral
AUUGAACGCUGGCGGCAUGCCUUACACAUGCAAGUCGAACGGCAGCAUGAUCUAGCUUGCUAGAUUGAUGGCGAGCGGUGAACGGGUGAGUAAUACAUCGGAACGUGCCCUGUAGUGGGGGAUAACUAGUCGAAAGAUUAGCUAAUACCGCAUACGACCUGAGGGUGAAAGUGGGGGACCGCAAGGCCUCAUGCUAUAGGAGCGGCCGAUGUCUGAUUAGCUAGUUGGUGAGGUAAAGGCUCACCAAGGCGACGAUCAGUAGCUGGUCUGAGAGGACGAUCAGCCACACUGGGACUGAGACACGGCCCAGACUCCUACGGGAGGCAGCAGUGGGGAAUUUUGGACAAUGGGCGAAAGCCUGAUCCAGCAAUGCCGCGUGUGUGAAGAAGGCCUUCGGGUUGUAAAGCACUUUUGUCCGGAAAGAAAUGGCUCUGGUUAAUACCUGGGGUCGAUGACGGUACCGGAAGAAUAAGGACCGGCUAACUACGUG